AAUGUGCGUUAAGUGUGCAUUUAGACUGGUGUUAUAAAUACAAUUCUAUUUAAGGUCUUUUCUUUAGCAUAUACAAACUUAUUUCCCCCGUGUAUACGAUUCGAUUUAUGCACGAUGCUGUGUGUACGUGUAAAAACGAUUGGCGGCUUGUUCAUUCGCAAUCUGAAUGGACACAAACUUAUUAACCAAGUGAACCAUUUAAAAAUGAUAUUUAUGGUCGGUGGGAAUAUGAAGAAUGUUAUGUGUUCGAGUUUGGUUGGUUGGUUGCGUGCGUUUCUGCGAAACGUAAGUAGAUUUGUUUUUCAGUUUCACUGAAUACAACCAGUUCGUUUCGAUUGGACGCGUUCGCCGGUGUGUUCGUGUUUACUAGAGUUUAAAUUGUAUGAAUGCGGCUGUGGCGGUAAUAAUAAAGUGAUAUCAUCAAUUACACACUUGAUUGUUCAUCACACUUCCGAAUGAUGUGGCAUGACACCUCAGGCGAAAAAAUUACGAUUAAUUAAAUGAUGUUUAGGUUUUGCUUUAAAAAAAACAAUUUGAAGAAAUCAAAGAAGAGACGAAGAAGAUUUACGAAAAGAGAGGGAGAGAGAGAGACUAGCCGAUCCGAAUCCAUUUCAUUUGAAUGAUACAUCUAAAAUCCAACCACUCAUUGCUUAUUCACUUGUUGAGCAAAUGUGCGAUAUUUUAAUAAACUGACGCCGUCAAAAAGAAACUAUAUUUUUGAUUCGUGACUGAGAUGCAUCGGUGUGCGUAUUUAUAGACGAAGAAAAAUUCAACCGCAUCAUCAUUCAAACUCUCAAAAACGAUUAUGUCGACUCAUAAACUUACCGCUUAUGCAGAUUUUCCAUGAAUUUCUCCAACGUGACUUCGUCCAACAAAACGAAAUCUUGAACGCCAACUUCUGUUUGUUGUGCCAUUUUGGUUGUUGCUUCGUGUUUUUUUUUCCAAUUUGCUUUUUUUUUUGUUCCGAAGAAAAACUGCUACUUUUAAGUCUUCGCUGUUAUAAAAUCUCUUUGAUGCGAGGUUUUCAGAUUAACUUUGUAACGCAAUAGUUCUGCUUUGCAUUGAUUUCUAUUUUCGGUGUGUGUAUAUUUUUAAGGUAUAAGUGAUGAAUUUCGAAAGCACCAAAGUGUCACUGACACCACACAUACAGAUCGAGUCAAAGAAUCGAAAUGAAAUCGAAUCGAUAUAUGCAAAUAAAGCAACCGAUCAAAUAAUAUGCUAUUGAAAUCGUCGUGUCUCUCUCUGUUUUUUUUUUCAAAUGUAAAUAUGAAUAAAAGGUAAUGACUAUGUACACGAACGGCCUGACGAAUCGUUUCGUUGGUUACUUAUGUGUGCCCGAUUCGUCUUAUUUUUUUUCGUUAUUUUUUUCUUCGGCACUAAAGUUGGUACAUCGAGCAUUUCACGUAGAUCAUCAAGCAAAGAGAGACUUAUUUUUUUUAAUACAAAGGCACAUACGGAUUUACUGAAUGUAGCACACAACACGUUUAGCACAGCGAGUCAAAUGCCAGAGAGCUCAACUUGAACUUAAACUUCUUAUUGGAAUAUAUGUAGAUCGUUGCUUGUACUAGUUCUUUUCUCUUUACAAUCGUAUGAUUUAUGGUACACUCAUUUUUUUUUCACUUGGACAAUUGGCCUGAACUUAAUUCCAA
This is a long non-coding RNA of Sitodiplosis mosellana (orange wheat blossom midge), 1649 nucleotides long. RefSeq lists it as uncharacterized. The record is from RefSeq and is a predicted model, not a curated record. The transcript has 2 exons. NCBI's taxonomy places the organism in Eukaryota, Metazoa, Arthropoda, Insecta, Diptera, Cecidomyiidae.